This 433-nucleotide ribosomal RNA is filed under the name uncultured bacterium. RNAcentral describes it as "partial 16S ribosomal RNA". It matches the Rfam family "Bacterial small subunit ribosomal RNA", at positions 29 to 507 of the family's 1533-position model. The record is from RNAcentral.
AACGAACGCUGGCGGCAUGCCUAACACAUGCAAGUCGAACGAGACCUUCGGGUCUAGUGGCGCACGGGUGCGUAACGCGUGGGAACCUGCCCUUAGGUUCGGAAUAACUCCCCGAAAGGGGUGCUAAUACCGGAUAAUGUCUUCGGACCAAAGAUUUAUCGCCUUUGGAUGGGCCCGCGUUGGAUUAGCUAGUUGGUAGGGUAAAAGCCUACCAAGGCGACGAUCCAUAGCUGGUCUGAGAGGAUGAUCAGCCACACUGGGACUGAGACACGGCCCAGACUCCUACGGGAGGCAGCAGUGGGGAGUAUUGGACGAUGGGCGAAAGCCUGAUCCAGCAAUGCCGCGUGAGUGAUGAAGGCCUUAGGGUUGUAAAGCUCUUUUACCCGGGAUGAUAAUGACAGUACCGGGAGAAUAAGCUCCGGCUAACUCCGUG